This 253-nucleotide ribosomal RNA is filed under the name uncultured bacterium. RNAcentral describes it as "partial 16S ribosomal RNA". It matches the Rfam family "Bacterial small subunit ribosomal RNA", at positions 524 to 776 of the family's 1533-position model. The record is from RNAcentral.
UACGUAGGGGGCAAGCGUUGUCCGGAUUUAUUGGGCGUAAAGAGCGUGUAGGCGGCCAGACAGGUCAGCUGUGAAAACUCGAGGCUCAACCUCGGGCCUGCAGUGGGUACGGGCAGACUAGAGUGCGGUAGGGGAGAUUGGAAUUCCUGGUGUAGCGGUGGAAUGCGCAGAUAUCAGGAGGAACACCAAUGGCGAAGGCAGAUCUCUGGGCCGUAACUGACGCUGAGGAGCGAAAGCAUGGGGAGCGAACAGG